GAUGAACGCUGGCGGCGUGCUUAACACAUGCAAGUCGAACGGAAAGGCCCAAGCUUGCUUGGGUACUCGAGUGGCGAACGGGUGAGUAACACGUGGGUGAUCUGCCCCGCACUUCGGGAUAAGCCUGGGAAACUGGGUCUAAUACCGGAUAGGACAGUGGUUUGGAUGCCAUUGUGGAAAGUUUUUUCGGUGUGGGAUGAGCUCGCGGCCUAUCAGCUUGUUGGUGGGGUAAUGGCCUACCAAGGCGUCGACGGGUAGCCGGCCUGGGAGGGUGUACGGCCACAUUGGGACUGAGAUACGGCCCAGGCUCCUACGGGAGGCAGCAGUGGGGAAUAUUGCACAAUGGGCGCAAGCCUGAUGCAGCGACGCCGCGUGGGGGAUGACGGCCUUCGGGUUGUAAACUCCUUUCGCUAGGGACGAAGCGUUAUGUGACGGUACCUAGAGAAGAAGCACCGGCUAACUACGUG
RNAcentral lists this ribosomal RNA (467 nucleotides) under uncultured bacterium. Its description in RNAcentral is "partial 16S ribosomal RNA". It matches the Rfam family "Bacterial small subunit ribosomal RNA", at positions 28 to 507 of the family's 1533-position model. The record is from RNAcentral.